RNAcentral lists this ribosomal RNA (468 nucleotides) under uncultured bacterium. Its description in RNAcentral is "partial 16S ribosomal RNA". It matches the Rfam family "Bacterial small subunit ribosomal RNA", at positions 28 to 507 of the family's 1533-position model. The record is from RNAcentral.
GACGAACGCUGGCGGCGUGCUUAACACAUGCAAGUCGAACGGAAAGGCCCUGCUUUUGUGGGGUGCUCGAGUGGCGAACGGGUGAGUAACACGUGAGUAACCUGCCCUUGACUUUGGGAUAACUUCAGGAAACUGGGGCUAAUACCGGAUAGGAGCUUCUGAUGCAUGGGGGGGGUUGGAAAGUUUCGGCGGUGGGGGAUGGACUCGCGGCUUAUCAGCUUGUUGGUGGGGUAGUGGCUUACCAAGGCUUUGACGGGUAGCCGGCCUGAGAGGGUGACCGGCCACAUUGGGCCUGCGAGACGGCCCAGACUCCUACGGGAGGCAGCAGUGGGGAAUAUUGCACAGUGGGCGGAAGCCUGAUGCAGCAGCGCCGCGUGCGGGAUGACGGCCUUCGGGUUGUAAACCGCUUUCGCCUGUGACGAAGCGUGAGUGACGGUAAUGGGUAAAGAAGCACCGGCUAACUACGUG